UGAUUUUUUUUUUAUUAAUUCAGUGUACAGCAGACGUGAUCCUAUCUCAUAAUGUAAUUUAAAAAUAGAAAAAAAAAUCAAUAUGGUAUCAUUUUACAUUAUUUGGUUUAAUUCUAAGCUGAACAGAAGUCAGAUUAACAGCUUAGAUUCACAAUAUUAGAAAAUAAAUCAUGCCAUGACUGUAAAGGGAUGCAGUUUUGUAUCACUGAGGAUUUAAAUACUAUUGCAGAGAUGUUUUCUCAUGACACAUUGUGAAAGGUUAGAAUAUGCAUUAAGAGAAUCUGUGAUAAACAGCUGUCAGAACACUGUGUACAUGACAGGUUAAAUAGAAACACUAUUGUGAUCUGUUAAAAUGUGUUAAAUACAUUCAUUCAUGACAUUGGGAUUAUAACAGAUGGAGUGAAGUUAAAAACAGAUCAAAUUAAAAGUUUCAGACUGGCUAAAGUGGGUUUAAAGAGUUAAAAGUGGUAAAUAAUUGUGUUAGAAGAGGUAAAAUGUUUCAAAGAGUAUUGCUGAAUUCACAUUGUGUGUUGUAUUGUUGAAGUUAUGUCGUGGUCAUAAGAUCUGUGCUCGACACAUGCGCCUCAAUCGGUUACUCUGAGAUCGAUUGCUUUUGUCUCCUUCCGCGACUGUGAGGGCACCAGGUGAACGGGUCUUCCUCAGAGCGGUAGACAGACAGUUUCACAGCAAUGUAGGAACGAAUUAUCAGAUAAAUAUCGUGGAAAUUAUUAUGAGAGUAAUAUAAAAAGGGCUAAUGUUCGAUAAACACUACAAAUCAUCUUUUUAAUGUGAUAUAAUUAGUGUAAGUAACCUUCUCUCCCCUCUCCUUUCCAUAGCAAUGGUACAUUCCACUACCAUUCAACUCCAUUGUGAGUUUUCUUCAUUACGUUAAAGUGCGUGUUGACAAAACUUCACACUGGAUGGCUGCUGUGUUUAUUUCUUCCUUUUUUAAACCAGAUUUCUGCAGUAACUAAAGGAAGAUAAAAACGUUCUGUAAAAUCCUAGAUAUUUUGGAGUUCUCCUUUGCUGUCUGAUCACGAAAUCAUAGUUUCAGCUGCUGGUUAUGUGCAUAAUCACAUAAUUAGAAACCUCUGUGUUGAUUAGUUGGGGGGAAAAAACCCCCAAAAUGAAUAGUUCCAGACAAUGUUUCAAGAUAAUUUAGUAAAACUUCAAAUAUGUGUCAAACAAAUAAAAUAACUCACGACAUUAAAACACAUUGAACAGCAAUAAAUAGAUGGAAAUAAAUUAUCUGAAAUACAGCAACACAGAGAU
Molecule: long non-coding RNA, 1272 nt
Organism: Stegastes partitus (bicolor damselfish)
Lineage: Eukaryota; Metazoa; Chordata; Actinopteri; Pomacentridae
Exons: 2
Source: RefSeq, a predicted model, not a curated record